Molecule: ribosomal RNA, 404 nt
Filed under: Fusobacteriota bacterium
Lineage: Bacteria; Fusobacteriati; Fusobacteriota
Description: Fusobacteria bacterium partial 16S ribosomal RNA
Rfam family: Bacterial small subunit ribosomal RNA
Source: RNAcentral
UGGGGAAUAUUGCACAAUGGAGGGAACUCUGAUGCAGCGACGCCGCGUGAGUGAUGAAGGAAUUCGUUUCGUAAAACUCUGUUCUAUGGGAAGAAAAGGACUGUACCAUAGGAGAAAGCUCCGGCUAAAUACGUGCCAGCAGCCGCGGUAAUACGUAUGGAGCGAGCGUUGUCCGGAAUUAUUGGGCGUAAAGGGUGCGCAGGCGGCUUUACAAGUUGGAUGUGAAAUAUUGUGGCUCAACCACAAACGUGCAUCCAAAACUGCAAAGCUUGAGUUAUGGAGAGGUAAGUGGAAUUCCUGGUGUAGCGGUGGAAUGCGUAGAUAUCAGGAGGAAUACCGGUGGCGAAGGCGACUUACUGGACUUAAACUGACGCUCAGGCACGAAAGCGUGGGGAGCAAACAGG